GCGGAGGUUGCCAAGCCAGGCCAAAGGCGUAGGGUUCAGAUCCCUAUCUCGUAGGAGUAAAAUGCGUGCUUGCCACGUAUUUGCCUAAUCGCGUGUUCAAAUCACGCCCUCCGCACCA
This 118-nucleotide transfer RNA is filed under the name Promethearchaeota archaeon. RNAcentral's name for it is "Candidatus Lokiarchaeota archaeon (microbial mat metagenome) tRNA-Leu". It matches the Rfam family "tRNA". From Rfam's summary of the family: Transfer RNA (tRNA) molecules are approximately 80 nucleotides in length. Their secondary structure includes four short double-helical elements and three loops (D, anti-codon, and T loops). Further hydrogen bonds mediate the characteristic L-shaped molecular structure. tRNAs have two regions of fundamental functional importance: the anti-codon, which is responsible for specific mRNA codon recognition, and the 3' end, to which the tRNAs corresponding amino acid is attached (by aminoacyl-tRNA synthetases). tRNAs cope with the degeneracy of the genetic code in two manners: having more than one tRNA (with a specific anti-codon) for a particular amino acid; and 'wobble' base-pairing, i.e. permitting non-standard base-pairing at the 3rd anti-codon position. Lineage: Archaea; Promethearchaeati; Promethearchaeota. The record is from RNAcentral.